AGGCCUGUAGCUCCAAUUGGCUAGAGCGGCGGUCUCCAAAACCGCGGGUUGUAGGUUCAAAUCCUGCCAGGCCUG
This 75-nucleotide transfer RNA is filed under the name Candidatus Firestonebacteria bacterium GWA2_43_8. RNAcentral's name for it is "tRNA-Trp". It matches the Rfam family "tRNA". Rfam says of the family: Transfer RNA (tRNA) molecules are approximately 80 nucleotides in length. Lineage: Bacteria; Candidatus Firestoneibacteriota. RNAcentral also lists the same sequence under 1 other name. The record is from RNAcentral.